UUUAAAAAAAAGGGCACUUUCUCUCGAGGAAGAAAAAGAGCAGGGGCUCAAGCCCCCUCUUAUGUCCAUAGACAGUAAAAGAAAUGACAUAAAGACAUAAACUCUUAUGUCAGAGUGUGCACGUGACUGCUUGUAAAAGACAUGCAUGGUACAUCUGGAUUGGUCAAGCAGCUUGGUCAUUUGCAUAGACCACACCCUGUAGACUUUCUAAGUCAUCGAGUGUCUGUUCUUUUCACAUCAAACAACGGGAUUGAAAGUGUGCAGGCAGCUGCGACCGCUCUGUAUCAACUCAUAACUUUUACAGGAAGCCACAGGACAUCACAAAGCCUAAACAAUGGCAACUUGGUCAAACGUAGACAGGGAAGUGAAUGAAGAGUGGUGGGAGAAAGCAUACAAGUUGUUUCUUGAAACUGAUCCAAUAGAAACGAUUCUCGAGCAUUCUACCUAUUAUAUGACAGGAAAUAACUGGAAUGAUUAUGGAUUCAGCUGUGACACACAUGUUCCUCCUACUGGGACAGUCCAUGAGGUUACUAAAAGAGCAAUUUUGGUGGUGAUUUCAAGAAAAAGGAGAAUGGAUUGGAAUGAUUGGAAGAGUAUACAUGAGCCAUCUUCUAAAUCUGAUGUACAGGAUCUGAACGAAAAUCACAAGAAAUUAAUAAACUGUGUUACUGACCUGAUCUAUAAAGAGGGCGGCAGCCCGAGACCAUUUAAUAAAUAGGCUGAACACUA
Molecule: long non-coding RNA, 729 nt
Organism: Megalobrama amblycephala (Wuchang bream)
Lineage: Eukaryota; Metazoa; Chordata; Actinopteri; Cypriniformes; Xenocyprididae
Exons: 2
Source: RefSeq, a predicted model, not a curated record